This 253-nucleotide ribosomal RNA is filed under the name uncultured bacterium. Its description in RNAcentral is "partial 16S ribosomal RNA". It matches the Rfam family "Bacterial small subunit ribosomal RNA", at positions 524 to 776 of the family's 1533-position model. The record is from RNAcentral.
UACGGGGGGGGCAAGCGUUGUUCGGAAUUACUGGGCGUAAAGGGCUCGUAGGCGGCCAACUAAGUCAUACGUGAAAUCCCUCGGCUUAACCGGGGAACUGCGUCUGAUACUGGAUGGCUUGAGUUCGGGAGAGGGAUGCGGAAUUCCAGGUGUAGCGGUGAAAUGCGUAGAUAUCUGAAGGAACACCGGUGGCGAAGGCGGCAUCCUGGACCGAUACUGACGCUGAGGAGCGAAAGCCAGGGGAGCAAACGGG